AGAGUUUGAUCCUGGCUCAGAACGAACGCUGGCGGCAGGCCUAACACAUGCAAGUCGAGCGCCUCCGCAAGGGGGAGCGGCGGACGGGUGAGUAACGCGUGGGAAUUUUCCUCAAGGUACGGAACAACUCAGGGAAACUUGGGCUAAUACCGUAUGAUGUCUAGCGACCAAAGAUUUAUCGCCUUGGGAUAAGCCCGCGUCAGAUUAGGUAGUUGGUGGGGUAACGGCCUACCAAGCCUGCGAUCUGUAGCUGGUCUGAGAGGACGAUCAGCCACACUGGGACUGAGACACGGCCCAGACUCCUACGGGAGGCAGCAGUGGGGAAUCUUGCGCAAUGGGCGAAAGCCUGACGCAGCCAUGCCGCGUGAAUGAUGAAGGUCUUAGGAUUGUAAAGUUCUUUCGCUCGUGACGAUGAUGACGGUAACGAGAGAAGAGCC
Molecule: ribosomal RNA, 437 nt
Filed under: uncultured Holospora sp.
Lineage: Bacteria; Pseudomonadati; Pseudomonadota; Alphaproteobacteria; Holosporales; Holosporaceae
Description: bacterial SSU rRNA
Rfam family: Bacterial small subunit ribosomal RNA
Source: RNAcentral